AGAGUUUGAUCCUGGCUCAGGACGAACGCUGGCGGCGUGCUUAACACAUGCAAGUCUACGAGAAAGGGGUAGCAAUAUCCUGAGUAAAGUGGCGCACGGGUGAGUAACACGUAGGCAAUCUGCCUUUAGGACGGGGACAACCUCGAGAAAUCGAGGCUAAUACCCGAUAAUGCAGCGGCACCGCAUGGUGACAGUUGUUAAAGGCCCGCAAGGGCGCCUAUUGAUGAGCCUGCGCCCCAUUAGGUAGUUGGUGAGGUAACGGCCCACCAAGCCUGCGAUGGGUAGCUGGUCUGAGAGGAUGAUCAGCCACACUGGAACUGAGACACGGUCCAGACUCCUACGGGAGGCAGCAGUGAGGAAUAUUGCGCAAUGGCCGAAAGGCUGACGCAGCGAUGCCGCGUGAAGGAUGAAGUCCGUUAGGAUGUAAACUCCUUUUGCAGGGGAUGAAUGUGGUGCCUUCGGGUUCCAUUGACCGUACCCUGCGAAUAAGGAUCGGCUAACUACGUGCCAGCAGCCGCGGUAAUACGUAGGAUCCGAGCGUUGUCCGGAAUUACUGGGUGUAAAGGGCGUGUAGGUGGAACUUUAAGUCGGUGGUGAAAGCCUGCAGCUUAACUGCAGAACUGCCUUCGACACUGAAGUUCUUGAGUACGGCAGAGGGAGAUGGAAUUCAUGGUGUAGCAGUGAAAUGUGUAGAUAUCAUGAAGAACACCGGUAGCGAAGGCGGUCUCCUGGUCCGUAACUGACACUGAGGCGCGAAAGCGUGGGGAGCAAACAGGAUUAGAUACCCUGGUAGUCCACGCCUUAAACGAUGGGUACUAGGUGCUGGGC
Molecule: ribosomal RNA, 828 nt
Filed under: uncultured bacterium
Lineage: Bacteria
Description: bacterial SSU rRNA
Rfam family: Bacterial small subunit ribosomal RNA
Source: RNAcentral